RNAcentral lists this ribosomal RNA (253 nucleotides) under uncultured bacterium. Its description in RNAcentral is "partial 16S ribosomal RNA". It matches the Rfam family "Bacterial small subunit ribosomal RNA", at positions 524 to 776 of the family's 1533-position model. The record is from RNAcentral.
UACGUAGGUGGCAAGCGUUGUCCGGAUUUAUUGGGUUUAAAGGGUGCGUAGGCGGCUUUGUAAGUCAGUGGUGAAAUAUGGCAGCUCAACUGUCAAGGUGCCAUUGAUACUGCGGAGCUUGAGUACAGAUGAGGUAGGCGGAAUUGACGGUGUAGCGGUGAAAUGCUUAGAUAUCUGGAGGAAUACCGGUGGCGAAGGCGGCAUCCUGGACCGACAUUGACGCUGAGGAGCGAAAGCUAGGGGAGCAAACGGG